GGGCCGGUAGCUUAGCCAGGUUGGAGCGCGUGACUGAUAAUCACGAGGUCGGGAGUUCAAAUCUCCCCCGGCCCA
This 75-nucleotide transfer RNA is filed under the name Microcaldota archaeon. RNAcentral describes it as "Candidatus Micrarchaeota archaeon (hot springs metagenome) tRNA-Ile". It matches the Rfam family "tRNA". From Rfam's summary of the family: Transfer RNA (tRNA) molecules are approximately 80 nucleotides in length. Their secondary structure includes four short double-helical elements and three loops (D, anti-codon, and T loops). The record is from RNAcentral. Lineage: Archaea; Nanobdellati; Microcaldota. RNAcentral also lists the same sequence under 3 other names.